GCCAGCAAUGGUGAACCCACCGGGAUAACUGGGAGAGAAGAUAAAAAUCUGCUCCAUAAGGAAAUGUCUGA
RNAcentral lists this small nucleolar RNA (71 nucleotides) under Microcebus murinus (gray mouse lemur). RNAcentral describes it as "Small nucleolar RNA SNORD22 (ENSMICG00000024523.3)". It matches the Rfam family "Small nucleolar RNA SNORD22", at positions 50 to 121 of the family's 126-position model. From Rfam's summary of the family: U22 is a member of the C/D class of snoRNA which contain the C (UGAUGA) and D (CUGA) box motifs. U22 is encoded within the U22 snoRNA host gene (UHG) in mammals and has also been identified in Xenopus. Lineage: Eukaryota; Metazoa; Chordata; Mammalia; Primates; Cheirogaleidae. The record is from Rfam by way of RNAcentral.